GAUGAACGCUGGCGGCGUGCCUAACACAUGCAAGUCGAGCGGCAGCGAGGGGUGCUUGCACCCUGUCGGCGAGCGGCGGACGGCUGAGUAACGCGUGGGAACGUGCCCCAAAGUGAGGAAUAACUGCCCGAAAGGGUAGCUAAUACCGCAUAUUAUCUUCGGAUCAAAGGAUUUAUCCGCUUCGGGAGCGGCUCGCGUCGGAUUAGGUAGUUGGUGAGGUAAUGGCUCACCAAGCCGACGAUCCGUAGCUGGUCUGAGAGGAUGACCAGCCAGACUGGAACUGAGACACGGUCCAGACUCCUACGGGAGGCAGCAGUGAGGAAUCUUCCACAAUGGGCGAAAGCCUGAUGGAGCAACGCCGCGUGCAGGACGAAGGCCUUCGGGUUGUAAACUGCUUUUAUAAGUGAGGAAUAUGACGGUAACUUAUGAAUAAGGAUCGGCUAACUACGUG
This 451-nucleotide ribosomal RNA is filed under the name uncultured bacterium. RNAcentral describes it as "partial 16S ribosomal RNA". It matches the Rfam family "Bacterial small subunit ribosomal RNA", at positions 28 to 507 of the family's 1533-position model. The record is from RNAcentral.